GAUGAACGCUAGCUACAGGCUUAACACAUGCAAGUCGAGGGGAAACGGCAUUGAGUGCUUGCACUCUUUGGACGUCGACCGGCGCACGGGUGAGUAACGCGUAUCCAACCUUCCCAUUACUGUGGGAUAACCUGCCGAAAGGCAGACUAAUACCGCAUAGUCUUCGAUGACGGCAUCAGAUUUGAAGUAAAGAUUUAUCGGUAAUGGAUGGGGAUGCGCCUGAUUAGCUUGUUGGCGGGGUAACGGCCCACCAAGGCAACGAUCAGUAGGGGUUCUGAGAGGAAGGUCCCCCACAUUGGAACUGAGACACGGUCCAAACUCCUACGGGAGGCAGCAGUGAGGAAUAUUGGUCAAUGGACGGAAGUCUGAACCAGCCAAGUAGCGUGCAGGAUGACGGCCCUAUGGGUUGUAAACUGCUUUUGUAUGGGGAUAAAGUUAGGGACGUGUCCCUAUUUGCAGGUACCAUACGAAUAAGGACCGGCUAAUUCCGUGCCAGCAGCCGCGGUAAUACGGAAGGUCCAGGCGUUAUCCGGAUUUAUUGGGUUUAAAGGGAGCGUAGGCUGGAGAUUAAGUGUGUUGUGAAAUGUAGACGCUCAACGUCUGAAUUGCAGCGCAUACUGGUUUCCUUGAGUACGCACAACGUUGGCGGAAUUCGUCGUGUAGCGGUGAAAUGCUUAGAUAUGACGAAGAACUCCGAUUGCGAAGGCAGCUGACGGGAGCGCAACUGACGCUUAAGCUCGAAGGUGCGGGUAUCAAACAGG
RNAcentral lists this ribosomal RNA (761 nucleotides) under Prevotella melaninogenica. RNAcentral describes it as "bacterial SSU rRNA". It matches the Rfam family "Bacterial small subunit ribosomal RNA", at positions 28 to 776 of the family's 1533-position model. Lineage: Bacteria; Pseudomonadati; Bacteroidota; Bacteroidia; Bacteroidales; Prevotellaceae. The record is from RNAcentral.